This 30-nucleotide non-coding RNA is filed under the name Mus musculus (house mouse). The record is from RNAcentral. Lineage: Eukaryota; Metazoa; Chordata; Mammalia; Rodentia; Muridae.
UAGGAAGUAUCCUUGAGCCAGGCUGGCCCA